GACGAACGCUGGCGGCACGCUUAACACAUGCAAGUCGAACGGUGAAGAGAAGCUUGCUUCUCGGAUCAGUGGCGGACGGGUGAGUAACACGUGAGCAACCUGCCUUUAAGAGGGGGAUAACGUUUGGAAACGAACGCUAAUACCGCAUAACAUAGAAGAUUCGCAUGUUUCUUCUAUCAAAGAUUUAUCGCUUAAAGAUGGGCUCGCGUCUGAUUAGCUUGUUGGUGAGGUAACGGCUCACCAAGGCGACGAUCAGUAGCCGUACUGAGAGGUAGAACGGCCACAUUGGGACUGAGACACGGCCCAGACUCCUACGGGAGGCAGCAGUGGGGAAUAUUGCACAAUGGAGGAAACUCUGAUGCAGCGAUGCCGCGUGAGGGAAGAAGGUUUUCGGAUUGUAAACCUCUGUCUUCAGGGACGAUAAUGACGGUAC
This 433-nucleotide ribosomal RNA is filed under the name uncultured bacterium. Its description in RNAcentral is "bacterial SSU rRNA". It matches the Rfam family "Bacterial small subunit ribosomal RNA", at positions 28 to 478 of the family's 1533-position model. The record is from RNAcentral.